This 294-nucleotide long non-coding RNA is filed under the name Hordeum vulgare. RNAcentral describes it as "long non-coding RNA (HVUL_LNC009438)". Lineage: Eukaryota; Viridiplantae; Streptophyta; Magnoliopsida; Poales; Poaceae. The record is from RNAcentral.
UUUUAUGCCUAACCACAUAAUUGUUUUCUGAAGAUUUUAAAAUGAGUUCCUUUCUAAUCAAAUCAAAACAUAUUUAACAAAAUAGAAAGCUAGAAAUAAACAGGAAAGGAAAGGAUUUAAUUCGGCCUUACCUCAGCAAGAUGCAGGCCUUGCCCACCAAGGGCAGCACUAUCUUCUUCCUCCUGCUAGGAGGAGAAGCAUUUGCAUGCUGCAUCUCAGCCCAGCGUGGCAACAUCCCUGGCCACCUCAUGCUUCCCCCCAUCCUCAUCCUACUAGCCCAAAAGACCUCUGCAC